UAAUCCUUUAAAUCUGUCCCGUGAGGCAGACAAGGAGUCAAAGUAUAAGAUGGUGUCGCACAGUGAGGCUGUUGGUAGUUUCUCUGUGCUUGCCUAGAUUUUCUGAAGUCUCCUUGUGAAGGAGACUUUUUCUAUU
This is a regulatory RNA element of Streptococcus intermedius B196, 136 nucleotides long. It matches the Rfam family "PyrR binding site". Rfam says of the family: This family represents the PyrR binding site and terminator structure. Lineage: Bacteria; Bacillati; Bacillota; Bacilli; Lactobacillales; Streptococcaceae. The record is from Rfam.